RNAcentral lists this long non-coding RNA (493 nucleotides) under Mus caroli (Ryukyu mouse). RNAcentral describes it as "predicted gene 11773 (MGP_CAROLIEiJ_G0002762.1)". The record is from RNAcentral. Lineage: Eukaryota; Metazoa; Chordata; Mammalia; Rodentia; Muridae.
AUGCCUGCAGCGCAUGCUGGAAGGGUGUACUCACUCAGAUGUGGGCUGAGGCCAGGGCCAGAGCCACAGGGGGUGCUCUGGUUCCUGGUGGGAGCCACACAGCUCAACACAAUGUCCUGGCUACCUCUGUCAGUUCUCAGCUUCAGCAUCCUCUGUGAAGGACAGGAGACUUUCUCCCCCAGACUGAAAGGAAGGAUACAAGACAACUACUGUCACCACUGCUGUUACCAUGGUGCCGGGAGGCCCAGGCAACUCUUUAAGAAAAGGAAAAGGGGUGUAUGGCCUGGAAGAGAAGAACAAGGAAGACUGCAUCAUCUACUUAGCAGGAGAGAGAAGCAGAGCCAAACUGUGAAGGGGCUCAGAAAGGCAAGGAGCCCCCCCCACCCACACUCCAGGCCCUUUCUGAAGAAGCUGUAAGAGCCACAAUUUUAGGAACAGCAAAAUUGAAGUGGCUGCCACCACCUUGCAAUAAAGUUUUCCUGGCAGUGCCCCA